Molecule: long non-coding RNA, 2181 nt
Organism: Grus americana (Whooping crane)
Lineage: Eukaryota; Metazoa; Chordata; Aves; Gruiformes; Gruidae
Exons: 2
Source: RefSeq, a predicted model, not a curated record
CCACAGCGCGCGCGGCCUCCGCCAGGAGAGCCAGCAGCUCCGGGCGGCCGCCGGCCCCGCACACCCCCCCUCCCUGUCCCGUCCCGUGGCGGCCCUCCCCCCCGCCUAGAUGUCGUUGCUCCACAGGCCGGAUGGAUAAUGAGGGAAAUGACGAGUGUUUUAAUAAAUAAAGUAAUCAAGCAGGGAGUGUGAAGACUCUGCCAGGUCUGUCAUAGGUAAAAAUGCAACAAAGCUUAGAAGAAAGGAACAGGAAACAGAAAACUGGAUAGUUGGAAGAAGAAAAAGACUGGUUCACCAAAUGUGGCGUGCUAGUAGUUUGAGGAAGUAGAUAUAGGAGAUGUGAAAUGUAUAAAUGCUGAUGGCAAAUGGUAAUUGUUUCAGGUGUAAUAGUGCAGUGGUGUAAGAAUUCAGCUGUGAUACAUCUUUUAUAUAUCUAAAAUUGCAUUAAAAGCAUCCUGACCUGGAGAUCUGUUGGGCUUUAGGAAGCAUAAACCAAAUAUACACAAUAGCUAAAGUAUAUGUCUUUUCAAAAAAGUGCAUAAAGAAAACCAAAAAAAACCUUACUGAUUCCUUUUGGCUGGCUUCAAAACUUUUAAGCUUUUUUGUUUAGUAUGAGUAGGACAAAAGCUGUCUCUUACAUGAGAAAGCCUUGCCAUGAAGUCCUCUUCAAUCUCGGAAUCUCAAAGCAUAUUCCAUUGGACUAAUUUCAAUAACAACAAAUUAUGUGGUGUUAAUUCUUUGUCAGAAUUCUAACUUGGGCAUCUAGCUGAGUUUAUUUCCUUUUAAGCAGUUUUGAGGAGUCAUUUAAGCUAAUGCUAAAGAUAAGCUUAGCUGCAGCUGGCUGCUUUCACUUUACUGGGCAAUCACCAAUGUUCAUAUACAACUGUAGAAGGAAGUUAAUCAGAUAAGUACCCUUUUUUAAAAUACACUCCUUUAGGAGUGUCCUUUUAAAAUAUACUACCUUUAGGUUAGAUUCAAUUCAGGUAACUGCCAUCUGAUUUGCUGUGCAGAUUGCAUAAAUGCUCAUGCUGACACAAGGGAGCACAAAAAAGAGAGCAGGAUCAUUUUCAAUUGCAGAAUAGUUGAGGAGCAUGAUUGCAUAAUGUUGGCCUGAAUUUGAAAACACUUAAAACCUGUUUCAGUAGGAAAAAAAUACUUCUUCACCCUUAAAUAAUAAAAAAUGGUAUCUUCUGCCCAAGAUUGAACGGCCUUGUCUCUUCCAAAUUGAUUCACCAAACAAAAGCGCCUGUGUGCUGAAACUCCUCCUUAGGAGUUUUGCUUUUGAACUAGCAAAACCAGAACGUUAUAAUGGGAGUAUUUAAAAGAAAUUAACCACAGUGCAUAUUUGUGAACUGCCACUUCUGACCGAAGCUUCUGUGGAUACUACAUUACUUGAAUCACUAUACAAGCAUGUUACUGCUGCUGUCUUCUAAAUGUGUAUUUUCAUAUGAGCUUUCCUAAUGAAAUUAAUGGAAUGACUUGUACUUGAAGUUAUGUUACUGAAGACUGCUGGAUGCUGUUUUUUUAUCAGAGGGGAGACUAAUUUUUAAUUAGUCCUAUAUAAUGGAAAAAAAAGAACUUGAUUAUUUUCAAAACCUAACAGUAUUACUAGAAACCCAUUAUUUUUAAAGAAAAACAGUUUGCUACUGAGUUGGAAAUUCCCCCAAAUUAGCUUCUGUUGUAGAGUACAGAAAUCACCGAAACCUUUUUUUUUUUCCUGAAGAGUAGUCUGUGAAGUGUACAUAAAUAAUUCGUAUGUUGGUGAUGGGUUUUAAAUAAUAUUCCAGAUUAUUCAAGUACUGUUCACAGUAUAUAUCUAAGUUUGCCUGUCUAUUGUCUGUUGACAUUGAAUGGGAAUUACAGACUGUAUUAGUAGUGUUGUACAGAUAAUCUGUAUUCUCUGGAUAAAUUAUUCUUAAAGGAAUUUUGUGUGUUUGUGUGGAUUUUUUAAUGCUUUUUUUCCCUCACUGUGUCUUUAAGGUCAUCUGUAUCUUAAAUCCAGCAUUCUCUAUCACAUAAUCGUGGUUGUAAAAUAACCUCUUUAAUGUACUUCUGGAAAUGAACUGCAUGUCUUUUUCCCAGGGUGCAAGUUGGUAUGCCUUUAUUUUCUGAUUGUACUGGUUAAGUAUGAUUCUGUACUCCUGCAGACUUCCUGCUAUUAAAUGUUUGUUUGCAAGAGUA